AGGAAUUUAACCGCUAUGCCUUCAAUAACUUCAUGUUAAAUUUGCAGGGAGGAGUUCUCCAACUUCAUCGACCUGCACAUACUCCAGCCGCCCAGACUCGCAGAGUUCCUGUGGCAUUCCUGACGACCAGUCUUCCGAAAUCGGGCUGUCCCUGGAAGAAGAGGGAUGUUCGUCAGCUUCAUGGGACCACACAUAUUCCUGUCUCCCACUAGAGAACAGUCCACUGGAGGCUCAUGCUGAUCAUAGCUACGCCCUUCCUCAAAAUGCUGUUCCUGCUCACGAGUCCAGCGGAGACAUGGCUGACAUGGCGCCGUCGAUUUAUGGACCGUCA
Long non-coding RNA from Ixodes scapularis (black-legged tick), 331 nucleotides. RefSeq lists it as uncharacterized. The record is from RefSeq and is a predicted model, not a curated record. The transcript has 3 exons. NCBI's taxonomy places the organism in Eukaryota, Metazoa, Arthropoda, Arachnida, Ixodida, Ixodidae.